UACGGAGGAUGCGAGCGUUAUCCGGAUUUAUUGGGUUUAAAGGGUGCGCAGGCGGAAUGUCAAGUCAGCGGUAAAAUUUCGGGGCUCAACCCCGUCGUGCCGUUGAAACUGGGGAUCUAGAGUGUGCGAGAGGUAUGCGGAAUGCGUGGUGUAGCGGUGAAAUGCAUAGAUAUCACGCAGAACCCCGAUUGCGAAGGCAGCAUACCGGUGCACAACUGACGCUCAGGCACGAAAGCGUGGGUAUCGAACAGG
RNAcentral lists this ribosomal RNA (252 nucleotides) under uncultured Bacteroidales bacterium. RNAcentral describes it as "partial 16S ribosomal RNA". It matches the Rfam family "Bacterial small subunit ribosomal RNA", at positions 524 to 776 of the family's 1533-position model. Lineage: Bacteria; Pseudomonadati; Bacteroidota; Bacteroidia; Bacteroidales. The record is from RNAcentral.